This 30-nucleotide non-coding RNA is filed under the name Homo sapiens (human). The record is from RNAcentral. Lineage: Eukaryota; Metazoa; Chordata; Mammalia; Primates; Hominidae.
CAAGGGCUGAACAAGUCAUUGGAUAGGAGU